Molecule: ribosomal RNA, 660 nt
Filed under: Pseudofusicoccum stromaticum
Lineage: Eukaryota; Fungi; Ascomycota; Dothideomycetes; Botryosphaeriales; Botryosphaeriaceae
Description: eukaryotic LSU rRNA
Rfam family: Eukaryotic large subunit ribosomal RNA
Source: RNAcentral
CCAACUGGGAUUGCCUUAGUAACGGCGAGUGAAGCGGCAACAGCUCAAAUUUGAAAGCUGGCGUCUUCGGCGUCCGCGUUGUAAUUUGUAGAGGAUGCUUCGGCGAGGGCUCCGGUUUAAGUUCCCUGGAACGGGACGUCAUAGAGGGUGAGAAUCCCGUAUGUGAUCGGUUGCCUAAGCCAUGUGAAGCUCCUUCGACGAGUCGAGUUGUUUGGGAAUGCAGCUCUAAAUGGGAGGUAAAUUUCUUCUAAAGCUAAAUACCGGCCAGAGACCGAUAGCGCACAAGUAGAGUGAUCGAAAGAUGAAAAGCACUUUGGAAAGAGAGUUAAAAAGUACGUGAAAUUGUUGAAAGGGAAGCGCUUGCAACCAGACUCGUCCGCAGUUGCUCAGCCGGUCUCCUGACCGGCGUACUCUUCUGCGGCCGGGCCAGCAUCAGUUCGGGCGGCCGGAUAAAGGCCUCGGGAAUGUAGCACCCUUCGGGGUGUGUUAUAGCCCGGGGUGGCAUGCGGCCAGCCUGGACUGAGGAUCUCGCUUCGGCUAGGAUGCUGGCGUAAUGGGUGUAAGCGGCCCGUCUUGAAACACGGACCAAGGAGUCUAACAUCUAUGCGAGUGUUUGGGUGUCAAACCCAUGCGCGUAAUGAAAGUGAACGGAGGUGGGAA